RNAcentral lists this non-coding RNA (52 nucleotides) under Faecalibacterium prausnitzii. Its description in RNAcentral is "6A RNA". It matches the Rfam family "6A RNA". Rfam says of the family: Actinobacteria (1 example), Firmicutes, Fusobacteria. Terminator (Clostridia) The record is from RNAcentral. RNAcentral also lists the same sequence under 1 other name. Lineage: Bacteria; Bacillati; Bacillota; Clostridia; Eubacteriales; Oscillospiraceae.
AGAUUUGGUCGUAGAACGCGACCAAGUAAAACAAAAGAAACGUUCACCGAGA